AUACAAAUAAAAGUUAUGUUGCAGCUAUACAAAAAUAUUUCUAUCACCUGUCCUUUAUACUCUAUUAAAUUUUCAGGAGCUCAUAUGCUAUAAAGUUUAAACAAAAGACACAUAGUUAUAUACUCUUUUAUAAGAUUUGACCACUCUUUUGAAUAGAUCUGAUAAUGUAUAAUUAAGCAUGCAAGUCUCAAUCUCUGUAGACCUGUAAUAUAUUAAUAAAUGCAAUUCUCUGUUGAAUUGUAGCAUGAUCCAUGCAAUUAUCUAAAACAUCAAAUAAAUUUCCUACUUGUAUAAAUUAAGAUAUUCAAACCAUCAACAUUAACCAGUUUCAUCACCAUGUGAUUUGGAUUUAUUAAAUAUACAAUAAUUUUCGUGCUAUCGAUGACAAAUCAAAUUCACUCAUAACCUCUUCAACUCAUGAGUUUUCCCACUUGGUAUCAGCUGUCUUUUUUAUAUAACAUCAGGAAAAACUAUAAGAAGCUAUUUUGGGUGUGUCAUUGCCCUAGAAUAUCUUCCGUUUUUUUUUUAAAUAUAGAUAUCUAAUAAAUACAAUUUUCUGGGUUCUCCAUAAUAGUCUGUAUAGCAGUUUGCUGAAGUAAUUGCUGAGCAAAUCUACUGACAAAAAUAGUCAAAUAAAAAAUACAGAAAUGUUAAAUAAAACAAAGAACAUAUAGCUUUAUAAUAUAAAGAAUACUGUAAGACAAAAGCAGAUUGAUAAAAAGAUUCUGUAAAAUAUAGGCACCAGGUUUUCUUUGGCUUCAUG
RNAcentral lists this long non-coding RNA (763 nucleotides) under Mytilus galloprovincialis (Mediterranean mussel). The record is from RNAcentral. Lineage: Eukaryota; Metazoa; Mollusca; Bivalvia; Mytilida; Mytilidae.